GAGUGAUUUACUUCUGCAAGUCUAAUAACCAUACAACAGAAUAACACAAUGAAGGACGAUUUCAUAAAUUACACAGAAAAGGAACCACUUGAUCCUAAAUCUGCAAGGAAUGGCUAUGGCAAUCCUACUUUCCAACAUGAUGAAAAACCUGAGCAAAAUGACAAAUUACAGAAGAACAAGAAAAA
Non-coding RNA from Chrysemys picta bellii (western painted turtle), 185 nucleotides. The record is from RefSeq and is a predicted model, not a curated record. NCBI's taxonomy places the organism in Eukaryota, Metazoa, Chordata, Testudines, Emydidae.